AUGCUUAACACAUGCAAGUCGAACGGUAGAGAAGGAGCUUGCUUCUUCUUGAGAGCGGCGGACGGGUGAGUAAUGCCUAGGAAUCUGCCUGGUAGUGGGGGACAACGUUUCGAAAGGAACGCUAAUACCGCAUACGUCCUACGGGAGAAAGUGGGGGAUCUUCGGACCUCACGCUAUCAGAUGAGCCUAGGUCGGAUUAGCUUGUAGGUGAGGUAAUGGCUCACCUAGGCAACGAUCCGUAACUGGUCUGAGAGGAUGAUCAGUCACACUGGAACUGAGACACGGUCCAGACUCCUACGGGAGGCAGCAGUGGGGAAUAUUGGACAAUGGGCGAAAGCCUGAUCCAGCAAUACCGCGUGUGUGAAGAAGGCCUGAGGGUUGUAAAGCACUUUCAAUAGUGAGGAAUACCUGGGGGUUAACACUCCCCAGACUGACAUUAGCUAUAGAAGAAGCACCGGCUAACUCCGUGCCAGCAGCCGCGGUAAUACGGAGGGUGCAAGCGUUAAUCGGAAUUACUGGGCGUAAAGCGUGCGUAGGCGGCUUGUUAAGUUAGAUGUGAAAGCCCCGGGCUCAACCUGGGAAUUGCAUUUGAAACUGGCAGGCUAGAGUGCAGUAGAGGGAGGUGGAAUUUCCGGUGUAGCGGUGAAAUGCGUAGAUAUCGGAAGGAACACCAGUGG
This 677-nucleotide ribosomal RNA is filed under the name uncultured bacterium. RNAcentral's name for it is "bacterial SSU rRNA". It matches the Rfam family "Bacterial small subunit ribosomal RNA", at positions 44 to 715 of the family's 1533-position model. The record is from RNAcentral.